RNAcentral lists this transfer RNA (57 nucleotides) under Dipodomys ordii (Ord's kangaroo rat). It matches the Rfam family "tRNA", at positions 8 to 63 of the family's 71-position model. Rfam says of the family: Transfer RNA (tRNA) molecules are approximately 80 nucleotides in length. Lineage: Eukaryota; Metazoa; Chordata; Mammalia; Rodentia; Heteromyidae. The record is from Rfam by way of RNAcentral.
UGGCUCAGUGGUAGAGUGCUUGCCUAGCAUGCAUGAGGCCUUGGGUUCAAUUCCUAA